UUACGGUCAAAUCACGCUGAAAACACCGGUUCUCGUUCGAUCACCGAAGUUAAGCAUCGUAGAGCCAGGUCAGCCACACCUGGUACUGUAAGCCCCGGUUCUUCCGUUUAAUUAUCGUGGAAUUAGAUGGGGGACCGCUUGGGAACACCUGGUACUGUAAG
Acanthosepion pharaonis is the source of this 161-nucleotide non-coding RNA. NCBI's taxonomy places the organism in Eukaryota, Metazoa, Mollusca, Cephalopoda, Sepiida, Sepiidae. The record is from the annotation of a GenBank genome assembly.